CGACUCUUCGCGUCGCUAGCAACUUCUACUGUGUUGGCAACCUUCUCUCUGGUAGGUACCUCUCUUUUUUUAGCUAGGGUUUCGAGUCAUUUCUUGGUCCCGGUGUUCAUGGUAGAUGGGCGGUGCCGUGGUUGAGGGAGGGGGUCGAGGGUCGCGGGGCACCGGUCACCGGAGAUGGCGGCGAGUGCCAUGCUGACUGCCGAGCGUGAGCAAUGAAGAGUUGAGUCUCUGGGCCGCUGGCCACCGAGCGAGCCGCAUGGUUGUUUCUUCUCUUUUAAGUAGACCAUAUUUUGGAUGCCCCGUGAACACUGAAGACCGAUAGUUGCUCCUGAGUACUGACGAUUGUACUGAAUAUAAACAUGAUCACAAAUCCAAUAGCUACCAUCUAACCAGAGAUAAACUUGUUUAUAUCUAGUGGCUCUACUUCGUUGUUCUGCUGCUACAUCAAUCUACAUCAAUCUCUUGAUGUGAUUAAUUGAAGAAUCGUUUAUAAGAUGGCAUGUAUGGCUACCUGUCUUCGUUGGCAAAUAUUGUUUUUGUUUUGUGUUCAGAUGUUUUUUAUUAUGUUUUCCACUCUUCUAUUAAUACAUAGAUCCAUAGUUAACCUUUCAACUUAUCUUUUAAAAAUGCUUGACUAUGAUUGUUAGAUACAUGAUCCACUAUCGCAGGUGGUGUCAUUUUUCCUUGUUCUGGCUAAUAGCUAAAAGGUUAUACAAAAGAAUAAAUUAUUUUUAGAACAUGAACUUCAACAUCAUGCUUCCUGUGAAGAUUGUGUCAUAAGUUGUACCUUUGUGAUCUGUAGCCUAAUUUUAGGCUUUUUUAGGUUGAAGACUGUAAUGUGAAAUCUACAAGUGAACACUUAUAUUAUACUUGCAGAGCACUGAUGCAGUGACAGUAGCUCGACUUGCUUUGCUGAUUGUUGACAUGUAGCUAAACCAAAACAGCUUCCUGAGAAUCUGCAAACAAGCUAGCUAAAAACUUGUACCUGAAAACUUAAAAUUGGUAUCUCUAUAUCUAAUAGUGCAGACAAAUAGGUACAACAGUGUCAAAUAGUGUAGGCACCUGAAAACUGGUAUCUCUGUAUCUAAAGCUUCACUUUUGUCCAGUAGCUAGCUUUUUCUAAUUGUAGUUCAUUUAAUAUGGUAGCACAUUAUUCUGCACUUUUAAUUUGAUAACAGUUAGCACCAUUUGAAUUAUUUUGGUUUGCUUUCUGCAUAAAUUUCAAAUUUUUAUCUGUUGAUUUCUGCUUUUGAUUCCUUAUUUAAACUUUAUAGACAGGGAAUAUUGGUCAUAUGGAGGCAGAGCCUUGCACACCAGUAUGAGCUAUAUAUAUGUUGCAUUUCUCCAUGUUUGGGCUCAUCAUGUAAUAGAACCUGAAGGAAGGUUGUUGCAAGACUUGUAUGGCAUGCUUAAAUUUUUAAACAAAAUAUAGCUCACACAGAGACAUUACAUGCUUAAUUUUUU
RNAcentral lists this long non-coding RNA (1464 nucleotides) under Zea mays. RNAcentral's name for it is "long non-coding RNA (ZMAY_LNC000807)". The record is from RNAcentral. Lineage: Eukaryota; Viridiplantae; Streptophyta; Magnoliopsida; Poales; Poaceae.